UACGGGGGGAGCAAGCGUUGUUCGGAUUUACUGGGCGUAAAGGGCGCGUAGGCGGCUCGGUAAGUAGGGGGUGAAAUCCUGCGGCUUAACCGCAGGGCUGCCUUCUAAACUGUCGAGCUUGAGCACGGUAGAGGCAGAUGGAAUUCCCGGUGUAGCGGUGGAAUGCGUAGAGAUCGGGAAGAACAUCAGUGGCGAAGGCGGUCUGCUGGGCCGUUGCUGACGCUGAGGCGCGACAGCGUGGGGAGCAAACAGG
This 253-nucleotide ribosomal RNA is filed under the name uncultured bacterium. RNAcentral describes it as "partial 16S ribosomal RNA". It matches the Rfam family "Bacterial small subunit ribosomal RNA", at positions 524 to 776 of the family's 1533-position model. The record is from RNAcentral.